RNAcentral lists this ribosomal RNA (253 nucleotides) under uncultured bacterium. RNAcentral describes it as "partial 16S ribosomal RNA". It matches the Rfam family "Bacterial small subunit ribosomal RNA", at positions 524 to 776 of the family's 1533-position model. The record is from RNAcentral.
GACAGAGGGUGCAAACGUUGCUCGGAAUUACUGGGCGUAAAGCGCGUGUAGGCGGACUGGUGUGUCGGAUGUGAAAUCCCCAGGCUCAACCUGGGAACUGCAUUCGAAACUGCCAGCCUUGAGUGGUGGAGAGGGAAGUGGAAUUCCUGGUGUAGAGGUGAAAUUCGUAGAUAUCAGGAGGAACGCCAGUGGCGAAGGCGGCUUCCUGGACACCAACUGACGCUGAGACGCGAAAGCGUGGGGAGCAAACAGG